Non-coding RNA from Chitinophaga sancti, 74 nucleotides. The record is from Rfam. NCBI's taxonomy places the organism in Bacteria, Pseudomonadati, Bacteroidota, Chitinophagia, Chitinophagales, Chitinophagaceae.
GUGGUUGUAGCUCAGUUGGUUAGAGCACCAGAUUGUGGUUCUGGGGGUCGUGGGUUCGAACCCCAUCAUCCACC